This 301-nucleotide ribosomal RNA is filed under the name uncultured bacterium. RNAcentral's name for it is "partial 16S ribosomal RNA". It matches the Rfam family "Bacterial small subunit ribosomal RNA", at positions 509 to 807 of the family's 1533-position model. The record is from RNAcentral.
CAGCCGCCGCGGUAAUACGGAGGGUGCAAGCGUUAAUCGGAAUUACUGGGCGUAAAGCGCACGCAGGCGGUCUGACAAGUCAGAUGUGAAAUCCCCGGGCUUAACCUGGGAACUGCAUUUGAAACUGUCAGGCUGGAGUCUUGUAGAGGGGGGUGGAAUUCCAGGUGUAGCGGUGAAAUGCGUAGAGAUCUGGAGGAAUACCGGUGGCGAAGGCGGCCCCCUGGACAAAGACUGACGCUCAGGUGCGAAAGCGUGGGGAGCAAACAGGAUUAGAUACCCGUGUAGUCCCUGUCUCUUAUAC